UUAAAUAUUGACACUCAUGUUUAAUCCAAUGGUCAAUCCUUACUCCCCACCACCAUAUAAAAAUCAAAUUAACACCCAAAAGCCCAGGGGACUUUGGGGCAGCAGAAGGGCAGGGAACGGACUACCCUCCUGAAUUUUUCGAUCUUCUUUCUUUCAAUCUCUCAGGGACCAGCAGAGAAUUCACCUGAAUAUAGGGAAUAGAGUGACCAGAGGGAAUGAUAUAGUGAGAACGAGGGUGAGAAGGGAACGGCCAGAAUUUCAAUAAAAGAAAAGGAAAAAUGCUACAGAGAGGCUACGUGAGUUUGAUGACGCACUAAAAGAGACGAACAAAAGUACUGUCCUUCAAAUUUUGGUUUUAAAAAUGGAGGUCACCCGAGGUUGUGUUUGAUUCGAGGUUUCCGGUCCGGGUUUGUGAGCUUGAAGCAACCGUUGAUGUGCACUUGAUUUGGAGCUCUAUUUUGUUUAAUAUAAAAGGAAGAUUCGUCAAAGGUUUAUUCCUUCCCUUUCCUCUGUUUUUUGAUUUAUCUCCCGUGAGUUGUUUGUGUUUGUUUGCAAUCCAUGCUUAAAUUGUCAUUUUGUGAAUGACUUGCACAUUUACGUGUGAAUUGAAUCUUGUGAAUACAUGUUGAUAUGUUAGUAGAAUGGAGACAGUAGGUGCCUGUAGAGGACAUUUCUGAUUAAAUGAACUUGGGCCAUGGGAGUUCGAACAGAAUGUUAGACUUUGGAUUUUUUUUUCCUUUUGUCAUUUUAUUUUAUUUUAUUGAAUCGCUAGGAGUAUGUUAGGCCGAUAACACUUGGGUAGGCAAGUUUUAGGACUUUUUAUUUUAUUUGAGAUUAGAGGUUGUCCCGUAGUUUAUUAUUUUAUCGGGGUAUGCCCCGUAAUGAAUGUUAUUGGAGGCUGUGACGGACAUCGUGGAGUGAGCAUAUCAUAGACUUUAGUAUUUUCCUCUUAUUUUACUUUCUUUUAUUUAGGUGGGGACAACCUCGAGUCUCUUGUGUGCUUAUUUUUCUUUCGUGUGUUUUUUGCCUCAAUUCGAAUAUCCUUUAAAGCCAAUUUGAUCAUGUAUGCUACCGUACUAGUUACGGGACUCGGGGAGUGUCCAACACCUUCUCCCCGAGUCAAAUGAACUUCCUUACUUGGAAUUUCUGGUGCAGCCAAAUUUAGAGUCAAAUGUGUUUUGAAGGAAAAUUGUUAUUUUAAAAAUAGUGACCUGGCACACCGAAAUCAAAUGUGGUGACGACUCUGAAAAAUCCUUUGAAACAUAAUCUUUUGUCACUUUUCAAAUUAAAAACCCCUUUUGAGCUUUAAAAUCACCUUUAUUUAUUUUUAAAGAGGGUUAAUGAGGUUAAAAAGGGGUGUGACGGUAGUGUAAAAAACUCGUAGAAAAAUCAAGUACUUCUAUAAUCUAUGCAUGCGAAAUAUUGGACACCAUAAAAUUCACCAUUUCAUAUAAUUAGAUAUUUUCAUUGCUUAGAGGUAUAUUUCAAAUUAUUGUAGAAGAUACACAUAAACCAACUUGAUAGUUUAGGAUACAACUUCAAAAUUAAGAUGUUAUAGAAAGAAUAGUUUGCUUUGUCUUUUACCCAAAAGCUCUCCAUCUCGAAAGUAUACUGUUUUAUGUACUACUUUCUUCGUUUCAAUUUAUGUGAACUUGUUUGAUUGGGUACGGAGUUUAAGAAAAAAUAUAGAUUUUUAAAAUUUGUGAUUCUAAACAAUUCAAAAAAAGGCCCAAAAUAUUUGUAUGAAACGGACCAAAAAAAAAAAUAGAUUCAAAUAAAGUGGAACGGAGAUAGUACUUGAGAACUCAUGCACAAAAAGGAAUGGCGACAUUUCAAAAUAUUUCUGGUCACUCGACAUUGUUGUCAACAACUCAACAUAUUCGUUUCUGCAUUUUAACCCUGUAUAGGUGGCAUGUUAACUAAGCAUCCACGUAGAUUACAUAUACACACUUCCACGUGCCAUGCACACGUUUCCAGGGACUAAGAUUAGUCCAUAUUUGGGAAAUUUGCCCUACACCAACAAGCUGCAAUAUUUUAGAACAUGUACUUCCCUUUCAACACUUUAUUCUAUCGUUUUAAUUUUUACGUUAAACUUUAAAGGUUGAAACACUUGCAAGGAGGAAAUUGUAUCAUAUGUGGCGGAGAGACUGCAUUUUGAAAGUGAAUUCAGCAAUGAUGAUGAUUUUUUAUAUAUUUAUAUGUACUUUUUAAUAGAUUUUAAUAAAGGCUAUCCGUUUCAAAGAAGCAUAUUGCGUUCACACGCAAGGUCCAGGGAUGUACCACACCUCAAUAAGGAUGUGAUGUAGUCAACCACCCUGAUACAAUUAUCCGUUGUUGAUUACACAGUUCGCGAAAAUAAUUUUACUGUAGUUCAAAGCUACCUUCUUUUUAAUGGAUUUUGAUUGUUUACUAAAAUACACACCACUAAGCUAGAG
RNAcentral lists this long non-coding RNA (2435 nucleotides) under Nicotiana tabacum (common tobacco). Its description in RNAcentral is "long non-coding RNA (NTAB_LNC005676)". The record is from RNAcentral. Lineage: Eukaryota; Viridiplantae; Streptophyta; Magnoliopsida; Solanales; Solanaceae.